UAGCUCAAUGGUCGAGCGUUGGCUUUGAAAGCCAAGGGUGGUGGUUCGAUCCCGUC
The sequence is a transfer RNA, 56 nucleotides long. It matches the Rfam family "tRNA", at positions 8 to 63 of the family's 71-position model. From Rfam's summary of the family: Transfer RNA (tRNA) molecules are approximately 80 nucleotides in length. Their secondary structure includes four short double-helical elements and three loops (D, anti-codon, and T loops).